GACGAACGCUGGCGGCGUGCUUAACACAUGCAAGUCGAGCGGUAAGGCCCUUUCGGGGUACACGAGCGGCGAACGGGUGAGUAACACGUGGGUGACCUGCCCUCAGCUCUGGGAUAAGCCUGGGGAACCGGGUCUAAUACUGGAUAUGACUCCAUGACGCAUGUUGUGGGGUGGAAAGCCUUGUGCGGCUGAGGAUGGGCCCGCGGCCUAUCAGCUUGUUGGGGGGUGA
Molecule: ribosomal RNA, 229 nt
Filed under: uncultured bacterium
Lineage: Bacteria
Description: partial 16S ribosomal RNA
Rfam family: Bacterial small subunit ribosomal RNA
Source: RNAcentral